CUCACAAUUCGCAUCGCCCCCCUCACCGCCGGCGGUUCCCUCCCACAACAAGUACCACCCAUCCACCUCUCUCUCCCUGGACACAUCUCCGCCGCCACAGAUGCCGGCCGAUUCCGGCGUUCUCUGGCGACUUCCGCCACCGCGCAGCACCGGUCCGAGCUCGCCUCGCUCCGCUGGGUCUUUUCCCCCAGCGGGAUUCGCCGCUAUCGGCCACCAGCGAUGACCUUAAGCCCUCACCAUGGCUAGGGUUUCGGGCGCCUCCACACUGGUGUGGCUCCCGCGCCUCCAGCGACUCCUCUCCGACGCCCACCGCGCCCUCACACGCAGCUCCAUCUCUAGGAUGUUGCUCCUCCGCCUGGUGGCCAUGGGAUGUGCAGGGCAAGGAUUGGAUGCUUGAGGAAGGAGGGGUCGACCUUGCCUUGCUGCAGCUCGGGGCGACCACCCAUGGAGCUUCCUCCUUUCUAUCUUCAGGUGUUUGAGGCAUCGACAAGCAACGACAGGGUUCGGCGUCGGUUGAGCUAGCUGCUAGGGACGCCUCUCUCUCAAUUAUCUCUAUCUCCGUCUCUGUCAUGAUAUUUAGAAGCCAUCUAUUAAUCCCGUCGAUGCCUAAUUCCAAAAUCUCAUUUCGCUCGCUCUCAAUACCCCGUCCCUCUCUAUAGUUACGGGAUGUGCCGCCGCCGCCAGCACGGUCCCAACGGCCGCCACGAGUCUCCCCGGUCGCCGUCGCCGUCCGUCUGUGCUCCAAGCUCGACGGUUCCAGUAAGAGAAUAGACAAUGCUGACAGUUAGGUGAUAUUUCAUAGCACUGUCAAUGUCAGGUAUGUCGAAAAUUGCUCUCUUUUUAUUUAUCAUUUACUUAGCCAACUUAUUUUACUACCUGGGGUGUUCUGGAGUUUUGUUUGUAAAACAGAUUGUGUUUUCUUUUGUUCUGGAGUGUUGGUACUGAUGCAUAAAACUACUGCAUCCAAAAUGGCAUGGUAUUAGUAUUUUUAUUUUUAAAAGAAUGCCACUUGCUUUAAGCUCUCAUUAAAUCAAAAUAUGUACUGAUGUUAUCGACACUUGAAUAUUAGUACUUUAUCGACACUAGAAUAUGCAUUAUGAUUUAGUGCACGUUCAACAAAUGGUCAAUGGAUCAGUAUUUUCUGGAAACUUUCUGUUACAUAUGAAGUUUUGAUUUCAGCUUGAUAUAUUAAUAAUAUUAUUACCAUGUUUCUUGUAAAUAUCUAUUUGAGAACUUUGCAGCUAAAUUGGUGCAUGUAUAUUAUAGAAGUAAAACACUUGAAAAUAGAUUCAGCAUGGUUCCUGCACUCCCAACUUUUCAUUGUUGACUGCUCGUCAAAAAACAAUUAUUCAUCAGGGGCAGUCAUGGUUGUUCGCGACUCCGCAAGAAGAUGAUCAAGGGUCGGCGGCGCGGCUGCUUCGUCGUCAUCUUAGACGAGUACCGUCCAACACGAUUUUCCGCUGCCAUGUUCCAUGGAAUGUCACUGCUUUUAUCAUGGCAUCCAACACUUGCAGAUGUGACUCAAAAGGGGGUUCUGAAGUUGAUGAACUUGGAUGGCCUGACAGUCUACCAUACCAACAACCAUCUCCAAGUACACGAACUUGAAGAAUUUCUUAGAUUCAUACACACCUUCAGUUAUAGAUAUUUGCUUUGUUCUCUAGAAUUCUUAUACAUUUUAAGCGGAUGAGCUGCCCAUAUAUCCAUUAGGAAAUGAUGGAGGUGACCCUUUUUAAAAUGAUGUUUCAGGAAAAAAUUCCAGUAAAGAUCAGGGUGCCAGCAGCGUUUCUAUUAUGUUUCAGGAGAAAUUUGGAUUUUUUGGACAGUUAUUGCAGCCAUCUUUAUGAAUGAGUAUAAAAACAACACUAUGAGGUAAUGCAAGAAUGAGGGUGCCUCUUUUUUCAUAAUAUUCGAACAUAUGGGCUACUCAAGGCUUUAUGUUGUUUUUCAAUCUAAGGCACGUGAAACUUUACUGUCAUUAUUUUACAUACCAAUAUCAUUGCUUCCUCCAAUUUCAAUUGAUUUUGAUUUCUUGAUUCAUGUGUGUAUAGGACAAAGAGGAGUAUUGGAAAUCUUAAAACCAGCCCCCCNNNNNNNNNNNNNNNNNNNNNNNNNNNNNNNNNNNNNNUGGCUCGAGAAAGAAGGAAAAAAUUGGCAUGAUCUGUUCGAUCUACUACAGGUAAUUUGGUCUUCUAUUGCGCACACACUAUAUCUUCAUGUAAAAAUAAUCUAGAGGCUUGUUCUCGAAAGAAGCAAUUCUUCUCUUCAAUUCAAACAGUUGCAAGCAAGAUUCUGAAAUAACACUGUGCAGUCUUCCUUUCUUUCUUUCUCAUGUCUAUACCUACUAUUAAAGAGAAUAACACUUCUUCCUCCUGAUUUUUUGUACGUUUGUCUUCCUUUCUUUCGUAUGUCAAAAGUGCCUUCGUCCGUCAGGUGUGGGACAAGGGGAUCGAACUCCUAACCUGGGCUCUGUUACGAGCAACAACUACCACCGAGCUAGCAUCAGGUUGUGUUCCUAAGUUCUGAUUCGUCUGUCUAUUAAAUAGUCCCUCCUGCUUUCUAAAACCCUAACUGAUCAAUUUAUCUACUCCCUCCGUCCGAAAAUCUUGUCGGAGAAAUGGAUGUAUCUAGACAUACUUUAGUUCUAGAUACAUUCAUUUGCCGGAGGGAGUAUGUCUUUGACUUGAAAUCAGUAAACCACCUUGAGGUUCAAUAAGCAGAGUGUAGUGGGUCCUGUUUAAUUACAAAUAUCAUCAGGAAUGAAUUACCUCCAUUGAGGGCAUAUAUAUGAACGAGGGACAAGGCAAAUGGACGCCGGAACCGCAUAUACAUAUGAACAAGGCGGGAUUCAGGAAAGAAAAGAGAGGAAGCGAGGCGGGAUUGAGUUCUCUCGCACCAUGCGACGGAGGCGAGGGUCUGAUGGACGAGCGGCGCUGCCGAGAGGGAGAGAGACUGCCAUGGAGGAGAGUUUGGAGAGCCGCACCGUUGUGGGGGAAGGCAGAAGCACAUACGCCGCCGACUCGGAUCUUCCAACGUUUCUGAUGCAAAGCUAUAGCCACUAGAGGCUGGAGAGGUCCUAUGCAUCGCUGCUGCUAUUCAUGUCACUGGAAAGCUGAAAACUGCCAAGUCUGUUUGUUCUCUUUUAGUGUAUAUAUAGCCACCGUGGGAAGGCUAGCAGGACAAAUAUAUUGCAUCAUGUGAAGAAGCAAACAAAGCAGCAACAAGGUUCUAGAAGCCCGGUGUAGAUGCAGAUGAUGGCGAUGGUCAUGAAGACGAUCAGGCUCAGCCAUCCGCCAUGAACGUAUGCCCAAGAACAAACAAACAAUUAAUCAAGUGAAUGCAUCAAAAUGUGUACAUACAGGUGACAAGUGCUUGAACUACUAGCUAGCAUUGGGCUGUAUAUAUAGAUAGAAUAUUUCUUGCGCGGUUUUAUUUAUCUUUUGUGUCUGGUCACCCUGUAAUAUUACAAAAUCACUAAAAAAUCAUGUGUUCAUAAAAUGUUGGGCUUCAAAACAUGCUUCAACUCUAAUAACAAAAC
This 3535-nucleotide ribosomal RNA is filed under the name Triticum aestivum (bread wheat). RNAcentral describes it as "partial small subunit ribosomal RNA". The record is from RNAcentral. Lineage: Eukaryota; Viridiplantae; Streptophyta; Magnoliopsida; Poales; Poaceae.